AUCAUCCUAGAGUUAAGGGUAUUCAUGGAGCUGUGCUCCCUUGCUAGAACCUGCAAGCAAGCUCUCACUGGACCCUUGUAAGAGACUUUGAAGCCUGGGAGACCAAC
This 107-nucleotide small RNA is filed under the name Mesocricetus auratus (golden hamster). RNAcentral's name for it is "7SK RNA (ENSMAUG00000007615.1)". Lineage: Eukaryota; Metazoa; Chordata; Mammalia; Rodentia; Cricetidae. The record is from RNAcentral.